AGCACCUAAAAGCGUUUUCUCGCAAGCCUGUUAAAUGCUCUUGAAAAUCGUAGAUGUGUGCCAGAGCAACCUCCGCAACAGCAAGCGACUCGAGUUUCUGUAGCUCUUGUCCGUUUACGUUGCGGACAAUA
This is a small nucleolar RNA of Drosophila bipectinata, 131 nucleotides long. RefSeq annotates it as small nucleolar RNA psi28S-3316. The record is from RefSeq and is a predicted model, not a curated record. NCBI's taxonomy places the organism in Eukaryota, Metazoa, Arthropoda, Insecta, Diptera, Drosophilidae.